UUAACUCAAGUUUGUAUGGAGUUGGAAGAUUUGCUACGUUUGCCGCUAGGGCUGCUGUUCCAACUGCAUACAAACUUGAGUUA
Non-coding RNA from Bombyx mori (domestic silkworm), 83 nucleotides. The record is from Rfam. NCBI's taxonomy places the organism in Eukaryota, Metazoa, Arthropoda, Insecta, Lepidoptera, Bombycidae.